AAAGACUAUAGUUUUACAGGUUUAUGUCUAACGUUUCAUCGUCUGUUUUAUUUGAAAAAAUUUAUGAUUAGUAUUUUUAUUGUUAUUACUAUAUGAUAAAACAUAAAUAGUACAUUACUAAUUUUUUUUAUUUUUUCAUAAAUUUUUGAAAUAAGAUGGACGGUUAAACGUUGGACACCAAAACCUACAACUACACUUGAA
RNAcentral lists this microRNA precursor (201 nucleotides) under Oryza glumipatula. RNAcentral's name for it is "MIR812 microRNA precursor family". It matches the Rfam family "MIR812 microRNA precursor family". Lineage: Eukaryota; Viridiplantae; Streptophyta; Magnoliopsida; Poales; Poaceae. The record is from Rfam by way of RNAcentral.